This 2925-nucleotide ribosomal RNA is filed under the name Escherichia coli. RNAcentral describes it as "bacterial LSU rRNA". It matches the Rfam family "Bacterial large subunit ribosomal RNA". Lineage: Bacteria; Pseudomonadati; Pseudomonadota; Gammaproteobacteria; Enterobacterales; Enterobacteriaceae. The record is from RNAcentral.
GGGUUGUGAGGUUAAGCGACUAAGCGUACACGGUGGAUGCCCUGGCAGUCAGAGGCGAUGAAGGACGUGCUAAUCUGCGAUAAGCGUCGGUGAGGUGAUAUGAACCGUUAUAACCGGCGAUUUCCGAAUGGGGAAACCCAGUGUGUUUCGACACACUAUCAUUAACUGAAUCCAUAGGUUAAUGAGGCGAACCGGGGGAACUGAAACAUCUAAGUACCCCGAGGAAAAGAAAUCAACCGAGAUUCCCCCAGUAGCGGCGAGCGAACGGGGAGGAGCCCAGAGCCUGAAUCAGUGUGUGUGUUAGUGGAAGCGUCUGGAAAGGCGCGCGAUACAGGGUGACAGCCCCGUACACAAAAAUGCACAUGCUGUGAGCUCGAUGAGUAGGGCGGGACACGUGGUAUCCUGUCUGAAUAUGGGGGGACCAUCCUCCAAGGCUAAAUACUCCUGACUGACCGAUAGUGAACCAGUACCGUGAGGGAAAGGCGAAAAGAACCCCGGCGAGGGGAGUGAAAAAGAACCUGAAACCGUGUACGUACAAGCAGUGGGAGCCUCUUAAUGGGGUGACUGCGUACCUUUUGUAUAAUGGGUCAGCGACUUAUAUUCUGUAGCAAGGUUAACCGAAUAGGGGAGCCGAAGGGAAACCGAGUCUUAACUGGGCGUUAAGUUGCAGGGUAUAGACCCGAAACCCGGUGAUCUAGCCAUGGGCAGGUUGAAGGUUGGGUAACACUAACUGGAGGACCGAACCGACUAAUGUUGAAAAAUUAGCGGAUGACUUGUGGCUGGGGGUGAAAGGCCAAUCAAACCGGGAGAUAGCUGGUUCUCCCCGAAAGCUAUUUAGGUAGCGCCUCGUGAAUUCAUCUCCGGGGGUAGAGCACUGUUUCGGCAAGGGGGUCAUCCCGACUUACCAACCCGAUGCAAACUGCGAAUACCGGAGAAUGUUAUCACGGGAGACACACGGCGGGUGCUAACGUCCGUCGUGAAGAGGGAAACAACCCAGACCGCCAGCUAAGGUCCCAAAGUCAUGGUUAAGUGGGAAACGAUGUGGGAAGGCCCAGACAGCCAGGAUGUUGGCUUAGAAGCAGCCAUCAUUUAAAGAAAGCGUAAUAGCUCACUGGUCGAGUCGGCCUGCGCGGAAGAUGUAACGGGGCUAAACCAUGCACCGAAGCUGCGGCAGCGACACUAUGUGUUGUUGGGUAGGGGAGCGUUCUGUAAGCCUGUGAAGGUGGCCUGUGAGGGUUGCUGGAGGUAUCAGAAGUGCGAAUGCUGACAUAAGUAACGAUAAAGCGGGUGAAAAGCCCGCUCGCCGGAAGACCAAGGGUUCCUGUCCAACGUUAAUCGGGGCAGGGUGAGUCGACCCCUAAGGCGAGGCCGAAAGGCGUAGUCGAUGGGAAACAGGUUAAUAUUCCUGUACUUGGUGUUACUGCGAAGGGGGGACGGAGAAGGCUAUGUUGGCCGGGCGACGGUUGUCCCGGUUUAAGCGUGUAGGCUGGUUUUCCAGGCAAAUCCGGAAAACCAAGGCUGAGGCGUGAUGACGAGGCACUACGGUGCUGAAGUGACAAAUGCCCUGCUUCCAGGAAAAGCCUCUAAGCAUCAGGUAACAUCAAAUCGUACCCCAAACCGACACAGGUGGUCAGGUAGAGAAUACCAAGGCGCUUGAGAGAACUCGGGUGAAGGAACUAGGCAAAAUGGUGCCGUAACUUCGGGAGAAGGCACGCUGAUAUGUAGGUGAAGCGACUUGCUCGUGGAGCUGAAAUCAGUCGAAGAUACCAGCUGGCUGCAACUGUUUAUUAAAAACACAGCACUGUGCAAACACGAAAGUGGACGUAUACGGUGUGACGCCUGCCCGGUGCCGGAAGGUUAAUUGAUGGGGUUAGCGGUAACGCGAAGCUCUUGAUCGAAGCCCCGGUAAACGGCGGCCGUAACUAUAACGGUCCUAAGGUAGCGAAAUUCCUUGUCGGGUAAGUUCCGACCUGCACGAAUGGCGUAAUGAUGGCCAGGCUGUCUCCACCCGAGACUCAGUGAAAUUGAACUCGCUGUGAAGAUGCAGUGUACCCGCGGCAAGACGGAAAGACCCCGUGAACCUUUACUAUAGCUUGACACUGAACAUUGAGCCUUGAUGUGUAGGAUAGGUGGGAGGCUUUGAAGUGUGGACGCCAGUCUGCAUGGAGCCGACCUUGAAAUACCACCCUUUAAUGUUUGAUGUUCUAACGUUGGCCCCUAAUCGGGGUUGCGGACAGUGUCUGGUGGGUAGUUUGACUGGGGCGGUCUCCUCCUAAAGAGUAACGGAGGAGCACGAAGGUUGGCUAAUCCUGGUCGGACAUCAGGAGGUUAGUGCAAUGGCAUAAGCCAGCUUGACUGCGAGCGUGACGGCGCGAGCAGGUGCGAAAGCAGGUCAUAGUGAUCCGGUGGUUCUGAAUGGAAGGGCCAUCGCUCAACGGAUAAAAGGUACUCCGGGGAUAACAGGCUGAUACCGCCCAAGAGUUCAUAUCGACGGCGGUGUUUGGCACCUCGAUGUCGGCUCAUCACAUCCUGGGGCUGAAGUAGGUCCCAAGGGUAUGGCUGUUCGCCAUUUAAAGUGGUACGCGAGCUGGGUUUAGAACGUCGUGAGACAGUUCGGUCCCUAUCUGCCGUGGGCGCUGGAGAACUGAGGGGGGCUGCUCCUAGUACGAGAGGACCGGAGUGGACGCAUCACUGGUGUUCGGGUUGUCAUGCCAAUGGCACUGCCCGGUAGCUAAAUGCGGAAGAGAUAAGUGCUGAAAGCAUCUAAGCACGAAACUUGCCCCGAGAUGAGUUCUCCCUGAGACUUAGAGUCUCCUGAAGGAACGUUGAAGACGACGACGUUGAUAGGCCGGGUGUGUAAGCGCAGCGAUGCGUUGAGCUAACCGGUACUAAUGAACCGUGAGGCUUAACCUUACAACGCCGAAG